Molecule: long non-coding RNA, 742 nt
Filed under: Marmota monax (woodchuck)
Lineage: Eukaryota; Metazoa; Chordata; Mammalia; Rodentia; Sciuridae
Source: RNAcentral
CCGGGCCGCACGCAUGCCAGACGAGCGCGCUACCGCUUGAGCCACAUCCCCAGCCCAGGAAUAUAUAUUUUUAUAUGGAGGCCUGGGAUCCAACCCAGGGGCGCUUCAUCACUUAGCCACAUCUCCAGCCCUUUUUAUUUUUUAUUUUGAGACAAGAUCUCAUUAAGUUGCUGAGGCUGGCCUUGAACUCGUGAUCCUCCUGUCUCAGCCUCUCUAGUCACUGGGAUUACAGGAGUGUGCCACCAAGCCUAGUAAGGAUAGAUUUUUCAGAAGAAAUAAUCUGAUUAAUGAGUAGGAAUUAGCUAGAAAAAUGGUGGGAAAUAUUCCAGGACUGGAGGGAGAGAUUUCAUAGAACAUACAGGCAACAAUACAGCAUGCUGGUUUAGUGUUGCUUGACAAGAGCGCUAAGGAGAAAGAAGAGACUUAAAGAUUUUAUAGAUUUUAAAAAAGAUUGCUCAGGAACCAUAACUCUGUAUCAUGAAAAAUAAUAAGUUUACUUCCUAAUGUUAAGGUAAGAGGUGGCAUUGGCAAAAUUUGGGCCCCAAAUUAAUUGGAGAGAGUCUACAUCUUAAUCUCAUUCACUUUACAUAUUUCUUUUUCCCAAAGAUAAUCACAGAUCAUCUCUGGCACCAAACUCCUCUGGCCCUCUUCCACUGUCUCUCAGGCAGUUCCCUAAUCAAAGUCACUGGGCUACAGUAAUCCCUUAAGGAUUAAUGAACCAACAUGGUGCAACAUACAGAAC